AAUAGCAGCACUUGCGGUUGCAACAAGACAAACUCAUAGCAACACUUGCUGAUGACAUAGAGAUCAUCAGUACUGCUGCUGCUGCUGCUGCUGCUGCUGCUGCUGCUGCUGCUGCUGCUGCUGCUGCUGCUGCUGCUGCUGCUGCUGCUGCUGCUGCUGCUGCUGCUGCUGCUAUU
RNAcentral lists this small RNA (176 nucleotides) under Brugia malayi. Its description in RNAcentral is "RNA transcript Bm15700". The record is from RNAcentral. Lineage: Eukaryota; Metazoa; Nematoda; Chromadorea; Rhabditida; Onchocercidae.